This 273-nucleotide ribosomal RNA is filed under the name uncultured bacterium. RNAcentral describes it as "partial 16S ribosomal RNA". It matches the Rfam family "Bacterial small subunit ribosomal RNA", at positions 524 to 796 of the family's 1533-position model. The record is from RNAcentral.
UACGUAGGUGGCAAGCGUUGUCCGGAAUUAUUGGGCGUAAAGCGCGCGCAGGCGGUCUCUUAAGUCUGAUGUGAAAGCCCACGGCUCAACCGUGGAGGGUCAUUGGAAACUGGGGGACUUGAGUACAGGAGAGGAGAGUGGAAUUCCACGUGUAGCGGUGAAAUGCGUAGAGAUGUGGAGGAACACCAGUGGCGAAGGCGGCUCUCUGGCCAGUAACUGACGCUGAGGCGCGAAAGCGUGGGGAGCGAACAGGAUUAGAAACCCCCGUAGUCC